Molecule: ribosomal RNA, 505 nt
Filed under: uncultured bacterium
Lineage: Bacteria
Description: partial 16S ribosomal RNA
Rfam family: Bacterial small subunit ribosomal RNA
Source: RNAcentral
GACGAACGCUGGCGGCGUGCCUAAUACAUGCAAGUAGAACGCACAGUUUAUACCGUAGCUUGCUACACCAUAGACUGUGAGUUGCGAACGGGUGAGUAACGCGUAGGUAACCUGCCUGGUAGCGGGGGAUAACUAUUGGAAACGAUAGCUAAUACCGCAUAAUAUUGAUUAUUGCAUGAUAAUUAAUUGAAAGGUGCAAUUGCACCACUACCAGAUGGACCUGCGUUGUAUUAGCUAGUAGGUGAGGUAACGGCUCACCUAGGCGACGAUACAUAGCCGACGUGGGAGGGUGAUCGGCCACAAUGGGACUGGGACAAGGCCCAGACUCCUACGGGAGGCAGCAGUAGGGAAUCUUCGGCAAUGGGCGAAAGUCUGACCGAGCAACGCCGCGUGAGGGAAGAAGGUUUUCGGAUCGUAAAGCUCUGUUGUAAGAGAAGAACGGGUGUGAGAGUGGAAAGUUCACACUGUGACGGUAUCUUAACAGAAAGGGACGGCUAACUACGUG